GGAAGUAAAAGUCGUAACAAGGUUUCCGUAGGUGACCUGCGGAAGGAUCAUUACCGAGUGAGGGCCCUCUGGGUCCAACCUCCCACCCGUGUCUAUCGUACCUUGUUGCUUCGGCGGGCCCGCCGUUUCGACGGCCGCCGGGGAGGCCUUGCGCCCCCGGGCCCGCGCCCGCCGAAGACCCCAACAUGAACGCUGUUCUGAAAGUAUGCAGUCUGAGUUGAUUAUCGUAAUCAGUUAAAACUUUCAACAACGGAUCUCUUGGUUCCGGCAUCGAUGAAGAACGCAGCGAAAUGCGAUAAGUAAUGUGAAUUGCAGAAUUCAGUGAAUCAUCGAGUCUUUGAACGCACAUUGCGCCCCCUGGUAUUCCGGGGGGCAUGCCUGUCCGAGCGUCAUUGCUGCCCUCAAGCACGGCUUGUGUGUUGGGCCCCCGUCCCCCUCUCCCGGGGGACGGGCCCGAAAGGCAGCGGCGGCACCGCGUCCGGUCCUCGAGCGUAUGGGGCUUUGUCACCUGCUCUGUAGGCCCGGCCGGCGCCAGCCGACACCCAACUUUAUUUUUCUAAGGUUGACCUCGGAUCAGGUAGGGAUACCCGCUGAACUUAAGCAUAUCAAUAAGCGGAGGAAAAGAAACCAACAGGGAUUGCCUCAGUAACGGCGAGUGAAGCGGCAAGAGCUCAAAUUUGAAAGCUGGCCCCUUCGGGGUCCGCGUUGUAAUUUGCAGAGGAUGCUUCGGGUGCAGCCCCCGUCUAAGUGCCCUGGAACGGGCCGUCAUAGAGGGUGAGAAUCCCGUCUGGGACGGGGUGUCUGCGUCCGUGUGAAGCUCCUUCGACGAGUCGAGUUGUUUGGGAAUGCAGCUCUAAAUGGGUGGUAAAUUUCAUCUAAAGCUAAAUACUGGCCGGAGACCGAUAGCGCACAAGUAGAGUGAUCGAAAGAUGAAAAGCACUUUGAAAAGAGAGUUAAACAGCACGUGAAAUUGUUGAAAGGGAAGCGUUUGCGACCAGACUCGCCCGCGGGGUUCAGCCGGCAUUCGUGCCGGUGUACUUCCCCGUGGGCGGGCCAGCGUCGGUUUGGGCGGCCGGUCAAAGGCCCUCGGAAUGUAUCACCUCUCGGGGUGUCUUAUAGCCGAGGGUGCAAUGCGGCCUGCCUGGACCGAGGAACGCGCUUCGGCUCGGACGCUGGCGUAAUGGUCGUAAAUGACC
This 1196-nucleotide ribosomal RNA is filed under the name Aspergillus fumigatus. RNAcentral's name for it is "eukaryotic LSU rRNA". The stretch from base 564 to 1196 matches the Rfam family "Eukaryotic large subunit ribosomal RNA", at positions 1 to 649 of the family's 3401-position model. Lineage: Eukaryota; Fungi; Ascomycota; Eurotiomycetes; Eurotiales; Aspergillaceae. The record is from RNAcentral.